Non-coding RNA from Oryzias latipes (Japanese medaka), 4398 nucleotides. The record is from RefSeq and is a predicted model, not a curated record. NCBI's taxonomy places the organism in Eukaryota, Metazoa, Chordata, Actinopteri, Beloniformes, Adrianichthyidae.
UUUUCAAGUGACAGUUGCUUAAAACAUAAACAUAAAUUCAGAGACCGAACAGCAAAAUCAGCACUUGGAAACUCGGUAUUACUCAGCAGAUUCUGCACAUCCCAGCAGCCCCUCCUGGUGUGCAGACAGGUGGCAGCAGAGAGCCACAACACCCCAGCUCCACCGCUGCACAAUGUACAUGUCUGUUAUUCCGUGUCAGUUCCAUCUUUUAGUGUCUUUUUUCAGGAUGUCCAGACGGUGAAACAUCACUUGAACUAGGCAGACAUGACCCUUGACAACAAAGUAAUGCAUCACAAGAGUGCAGCUCUGCAUAUUAUUCACUCAAGAGUAUUGUAUCAAUUACAGCUGACCGCCAGUCAGGUGGGUCUGCGGGACAUUUUAGAACACAGAGGGGCAGCCAGAUUGUUCUGUGCCUCCAACCUACUCCCAGACUUCAGCCAGAGUCCCGCUGAGGGCCUUGUCCCGGACAGUGCAGAGAGACACCUGGCCAAACCGCAGAAACACUUCCAGCUGCAAACUGCCUGAUGCUUACCACAGAGAGAAUCCAGGCCAAAGAUGAUACUUCAAAAGCUGCUGUCCAUUGUUCCACCAUUUAUAUUAAUCUAAGUGCCACAGUCGUGCAGGUUCAUUGAAAUGUCACAAAUACUGUAAACAUAUGAUUCACCCUGAACCUGCGGUCAACACAAAAGCAGCACGCCGGGUUUUUCAAGACGUGACAUCUCUUCCAUUCCGGCUCAGAGCAUUGUUCGAGCGCACCGAGAGUUUCAGGACAGGAAGCCGGCAGCUUGUUCCAGACGGAGCAGCAGAAUGGAACACGUCUUUAUUUGAGGGAAGUCAUUCCGUUGAUAUAUAAAACACCAAAGCAAAGUUUCCUUCCCCUUUACUUUCCUGAUGCUAUCCUCUUCAAAAGGACACAAUCCUUUUUACUGGGCUCACAUGCACACACGGGACAAGAAGAAAAACAAACAGAAGCCGUUUAAAUAUCAACCAACCUGACUUCUGUUUGAGUGAAGAGGCUACUGCGCGGCUCUGGACACGGCUUGGUAAGCUGCUGUAAAGCUUAAACUGAGAAAAUAUCCUGAGAAUAAAAUGUAAUUUUAUUUUGCAUUACAAACUCCACAGGAAUGACUUUUUAACCUCAAGAAAGAACCAAACAACAUUAAAGAGAGCAAAAAGGAGACUGCCCCCCCUUUUUUUCUGAGUUUAAAACAAGUUCAAGCUGAUUUAACUAAAUGUAUAUGUAAAUGUAAAGUUGGAAUGAAAAUAAAUUGUAGGAGCCACUUGUACAGUUUUUUUUUUAAUCAGAAGAAGCCUUUAGCAGUUAGGCUCAACAGACAAUUUCCUGCUUGCAACACUGAAAGUGACCACAGAAAACACAGAAACAAAAAAAGGGGGUGAAAUGUUUGUGAAGGGUCUUUAUCAAUAUUCACAUCUUUUUUUGUUUAAAGCAUUCAGUAGUUUACAAAAGUGGGAGGUUCAGUGUUUUUAGCCUAAUUUUGUUUCAUGUGUUUUAAUAUGAGAAAAACAGCAAUUUUUCUAAAAAGAUCAAUGAUUUUACAAAGUGAUCAGUAACCAAUUCCACCUAAACAAGCCCACUUUUCACAGUUUGAUAUUUCUCUGUCUUUUGGCCAGAUUUUCCCAUAAGGGUGUGGGAGGAGAGGAAGAGGACCACCUAUUAAAGUGAAACUUUAGGAGUGAUGGAUGGGAGCUUGUUGAGGGGGAGCAGAGGGGCUUGCUCACACCCCAGGGGAGGAGGAUGAUGAACAGGGAGGGGAGGGGAGGUGGAAGGGAGAGUUCAACUCACACCUCUCGCUGAGGGGAUGGAGACCUCCCAUGCUGUGUGACUUAAACAUUACAUUGACUUCAUCCCCAAUUUCAACUUUAGCCUUUUUUCCCUAAAAUUCUCUGCUUUCAUCUUAGAUUUUUAUGGUUGAAAAGUAUGCCCCUCCGGGGAAUUUUAAAUUGGUAUUAAUGACUUUCAUUUACGUUAGUAAGUUCUAGUGCAGGGCGGCAGUUGUUGGUUAUGUUUGUUUUUUUCUAUUUUGUACAUAGCUAAUCUAAAAAACAAAUAAGAAACCACUUGUCCCUCAGAUAAACUCUGUAUUUGUCAAAAUUAGUGGCGCAUGAAGUUUUUUAAGUUGCAUUGUAAGAUUUUUUAAGAAGCGGUCCAAUACAAUCUGCAGAAAUAUUUAUACACCAGACUCAUGCGCAAAAUCUUGGCUUAUAUAACCACUGUGGUGGGUAGUUAUAUGUGAUAAAUAAUUAUAUAUAUCAUAACGUGAUAAAUAAAUAUACUAAUCAUUUAAAUAUAUAUAUAUAUAGAUCUAUAUAUUUAUUUAUGCAUUACCAUGUCUGUAUCAACAGUAGGGGUAGGCUCCAGCAGCCUGUGAUCCUGAAAGGGGUUAAGCAGGUUUGGAAAAUGGAUGUUUAAAAAAUACGUAAAUAAAAAUGUGUUUCUUUGUAAAUAAUAUUAUCUCUUAUUAAGAUAUUAGUGUCUGUAAGUGUCUUAGUAAGCAACUAAGAAGAUUCAUUAAUAAAAUGAUUCAUAGUACAUUUAUUUAUAACAUUUUGUCAUCCAUAUAAAUAUCCACCAUGGUGAUAAUACAAGCCAAGAUUUUUUGCAUGAGUCAGGUGUAUAAAUAAUUCUAUGUCCCAUAACUAAUAUGUCAGUAUUACUUUUUUAUUUUAUUUUAAUUUAACAUAAAAUUGGAAGGCAAAUUGCCAUGUUUACAGCUUUUUUUGACUGUGCUGCUCACAAAAAAGUAAAUAAAUAAAAGUCACAUGAUGUUCCAUUUGUGUAUAGAGAAGCCUUUGCGGUUUAAUGCCUGAUGUGGAGAAAUUGUUGCAGCAGUAGUUUACCUUUAACUGUCAGGAAAUGACCCAUAAUCUGCAAGUGUUUGACUGCUGCAGCAUUCCUGUGAAAUGAGACAAGUUGAGGUAGAUUAGGGGUUGGGCAAUUAGCUCAUUAGUUAACAUAAACACAUGGCAGGGCUCCCCCAUUUCUACACACUGUGCCACCCCCAUACUGCCCACAGCUGGUGGUCAAAAUUAGUCCUCAAACUCCCAAACUCUGACACACACACUGCACUCAGACCACUUCAUCAUCAAUUCUGCGUUUUUUUCCUCCUUUAGUUUGCCGUCGCUUUUUUUCUGGGCCUCAUCAUCUCCUCUGUUCUGCUUUGCUCCAGACAAGCCACUUUUUCAUGUUGUAUUCCUGGGGGCUGGGGGCCAGCCACUUUUAACCAGCACCUCGCAGCUUAUCAAAGCACUUUAUCAGCCUGAGGGGAAAGACAUGAGGGUUAAGCCCUUCACUUCUGCUGCCCUGCAGCUCCGAAAAGCAGCAGGCUUUCAGCAAACAAAUAUUUGUAAGCUGGAGCUCUGAGAAGUGCCUUCUGAUGGAGAGAAAAGCUUUUGCUUCUUGUGUUUCAGUUGAGGUUCCUAUGAGCGUUAGUGUGUGUGAGCAGGAGAGGAAGAGAGUGUGUGCUGUAAAAAUACAGGGCAUCCUUUGUGCUGCAAGGUAAGCCAUUCCCUCCAUACAUCCCUGUUCAUUACUAGGAGCACAGAUGCUGAGCAUUUGACUGAAAUGCCUGGCCACAUUUUAAUUCCAAAAGGAGGCUUUCUACUCUCUCACCCUUUAGGUUUGGACAUCCAGGCUUCCUUUCCUUUCCUUCUUUUGACAACAUUUUCACCAAUUGAUCGAAAUCUAGUAAAACAUCGCAUCAAAUAAUAAACUUAUGAGGAAAAUGUCAGUCAGCAGAGCACCUCGACCUUAGGUGACAAGCAACUUUUCAUCCCAAAGCAGGACGGGGUGUGUUGCGAGUAGUAACAGAAACCCUGCUUUACUGUUAAAAAGCAUGAAUGAGCAUUUGUGGGACUUUUCACUGUGCUGGUCUUGUUGUGUCAGGAAGCUGCGCCGUCGGGUCGUGUGAUGCCCGAGAGGUCUGAAGGUGGGGUGAGCUGACGACAGAGGAGGAAGGAAAGAGGCUGGAAUAUCAGAAAAAGAAAAUGCGCAUGGGAAUUAAUGAGUUGCAGUUUGCUAGGCAAAUUGGUAGUUUGGACACUGAGCCAAGAGACGGAAUAGCAGACCAUUGAUCACCAUCUGUGCCGACAGGGUUUAAAGUGUUGCGCGUUGUUUUUUGGUAAUCUAUUGAAAAAGUUAACAGUGAGCCAUCACUUUGGUUUUGUGCUGCAUUUCUGUGCUGCAGAAAAGAGUGAUAUGGCUAGUUGUGAGUUCUAUUUAUCUUUUUUCUAAUACGUGAAAAGAAACCACACCGGUGUCCUCACUGGUUUGAUUUUCUUUCUGGCAAACUUUGUUAAAUUAAACCAUUAAAUUAGCAAAGACAAGAUCUGAAUUGAAAGUGUUUUCGCAGAAUCUUUUUGUGUUUCUGAAGGUAAAAC